CAGCCGCCGCGGUAAUACGGAGGGUGCAAGCGUUAAUCGGAAUUACUGGGCGUAAAGCGCACGCAGGCGGUCUGUCAAGUCAGAUGUGAAAUCCCCGGGCUUAACCUGGGAACUGCAUUUGAAACUGGCAGGCUAGAGUCUUGUAGAGGGGGGUAGAAUUCCAGGUGUAGCGGUGAAAUGCGUAGAGAUCUGGAGGAAUACCGGUGGCGAAGGCGGCCCCCUGGACAAAGACUGACGCUCAGGUGCGAAAGCGUCGGGAGCAAACAGGAUUAGAUACCCGCGUAGUCCCUGUCUCUUAUAC
This 301-nucleotide ribosomal RNA is filed under the name uncultured bacterium. RNAcentral describes it as "partial 16S ribosomal RNA". It matches the Rfam family "Bacterial small subunit ribosomal RNA", at positions 509 to 807 of the family's 1533-position model. The record is from RNAcentral.